GACGUAGGGCGCGAGCGUUGUCCGGAUUUAUUGGGCGUAAAGAACUCGUAGGCGGCUUGUCGCGUCGAAUGUGAAAUCUCAGGGCUCAACUCUGACAUUGCAUUCGAUACGGGCAGGCUAGAGUUCGGUAGGGGAGACUGGAAUUCCUGGUGUAGCGGUGAAAUGCGUAGAUAUCGGGAGGAACACCAGUGGCGAAGGCGGCAUCCUGGACCUGUCCUGACGCUCAGGGGCGAAAGCGUGGGGAGCAAACCGG
This 253-nucleotide ribosomal RNA is filed under the name uncultured bacterium. Its description in RNAcentral is "partial 16S ribosomal RNA". It matches the Rfam family "Bacterial small subunit ribosomal RNA", at positions 524 to 776 of the family's 1533-position model. The record is from RNAcentral.